GACGAACGCUGGCGGCGUGCCUAAUACAUGCAAGUCGAGCGGACGGAUGGGAGCUUGCUCCCAGACCGUCAGCGGCGGACGGGUGAGUAACACGUGGGCAACCUGCCUGUAAGACUGGGAUAACUCCGGGAAACCGGGGCUAAUACCGGAUAACUCUUUCCCUCACAUGAGGGAAAGCUGAAAGAUGGCAUCUCGCUAUCACUUACAGAUGGGCCCGCGGCGCAUUAGCUAGUUGGUGAGGUAACGGCUCACCAAGGCGACGAUGCGUAGCCGACCUGAGAGGGUGAUCGGCCACACUGGGACUGAGACACGGCCCAGACUCCUACGGGAGGCAGCAGUAAGGAAUCUUCCGCAAUGGACGAAAGUCUGACGGAGCAACGCCGCGUGAGUGAUGAAGGUUUUCGGAUCGUAAAACUCUGUUGUCAGGGAAGAACAAGUACCGGAGUAACUGCCGGUACCUUGACGGUACCUGACCAGAAAGCCACGGCUAACUACGUG
This 498-nucleotide ribosomal RNA is filed under the name uncultured bacterium. Its description in RNAcentral is "partial 16S ribosomal RNA". It matches the Rfam family "Bacterial small subunit ribosomal RNA", at positions 28 to 507 of the family's 1533-position model. The record is from RNAcentral.